RNAcentral lists this unclassified non-coding RNA (327 nucleotides) under soil metagenome. RNAcentral describes it as "partial contains 5.8S ribosomal RNA, internal transcribed spacer 2, and large subunit ribosomal RNA". The stretch from base 1 to 120 matches the Rfam family "5.8S ribosomal RNA", at positions 35 to 154 of the family's 154-position model. The record is from RNAcentral.
GAUGAAGAACGCAGUGAAAUGCGAUAAGUAAUGUGAAUUGCAGAAUUCAGUGAAUCAUCGAAUCUUUGAACGCACAUUGCGCCCCUUGGUAUUCCGAGGGGCAUGCCUGUUCGAGCGUCAUUAUAACCCCUCAAGCUCAGCUUGGUGUUGGGGCCUGCUGCACUGGCAGCCCUUAAAAUCAGUGGCGGCGCCAUCUGGCUCUAAGCGUAGUAAUUCUUCUCGCUAUGGAGUCCUGGUGGAUGCUUGCCAUCAACCCCCAAUUUUUCUAUGGUUGACCUCGGAUCAGGUAGGGAUACCCGCUGAACUUAAGCAUAUCAAUAAGCGGAG